AUUGAACGCUGGCGACAGGCCUAACACAUGCAAGUCGAGCGCGAAAGUCUUCGGAUGAGUAAAGCGGCGAACGGGUGAGUAAUGCAUGGGAAUCUGCCUGGUAGUGGGGGACAACGUCUCGAAAGGGACGCUAAUACCGCAUACGCCCUACGGGGAAAGGGGGGGAGUCUUCGGACCUCUCGCUAUCAGAUGAGCCCAUGUCAGAUUAGCUAGUUGGUGAGGUAAAGGCUCACCAAGGCGACGAUCUGUAACUGGUCUGAGAGGAUGAUCAGUCACACUGGAACUGAGACACGGUCCAGACUCCUACGGGAGGCAGCAGUGGGGAAUAUUGGACAAUGGGGGGCAACCCUGAUCCAGCCAUGCCGCGUGUGUGAAGAAGGCCUAGGGUGUAAAGCACUUUCAGUGGGAGAAAGGUUAUUCACCUAAUACGUGAGUAGAUUGAUGUUACCCACAGAGAAGGCACCGGCUAACUCCGUGCCAGCAGCCGCGGUAAU
Molecule: ribosomal RNA, 494 nt
Filed under: uncultured bacterium
Lineage: Bacteria
Description: bacterial SSU rRNA
Rfam family: Bacterial small subunit ribosomal RNA
Source: RNAcentral